GACGAACGCUGGCGGCGUGCUUAACACAUGCAAGUCGAACGAAGAGCGAUGGAAGCUUGCUUCUAUCAAUCUUAGUGGCGAACGGGUGAGUAACGCGUAAUCAACCUGCCCUUCAGAGGGGGACAACAGUUGGAAACGACUGCUAAUACCGCAUACGAUCUAAUCUCGGCAUCGAGGAUAGAUGAAAGGUGGCCUCUACAUGUAAGCUAUCACUGAAGGAGGGGAUUGCGUCUGAUUAGCUAGUUGGAGGGGUAACGGCCCACCAAGGCGAUGAUCAGUAGCCGGUCUGAGAGGAUGAACGGCCACAUUGGGACUGAGACACGGCCCAGACUCCUACGGGAGGCAGCAGUGGGGAAUCUUCCGCAAUGGACGAAAGUCUGACGGAGCAACGCCGCGUGAGUGAUGACGGCCUUCGGGUUGUAAAGCUCUGUUAAUCGGGACGAAAGGCCUUCUUGCGAAUAGUUAGAAGGAUUGACGGACCGAAUA
RNAcentral lists this ribosomal RNA (486 nucleotides) under Veillonella parvula. RNAcentral describes it as "bacterial SSU rRNA". It matches the Rfam family "Bacterial small subunit ribosomal RNA", at positions 28 to 484 of the family's 1533-position model. The record is from RNAcentral. Lineage: Bacteria; Bacillati; Bacillota; Negativicutes; Veillonellales; Veillonellaceae.